UGGCAGCUGUAAAACCCAGUUGAUAUAAAAAAACGAGAAAAGAUGAAAUGUAAAUGUUGCGUAGAACCUUGCUUGUACACGCAUUUUGAUGUCGUGAUGAAGCAAUACCGAUACGAGUCUGCCGGAAGUGGCUACAUGGAUUUUCUGUAUGGCAAUGAAGCGAUGGAAUUGGACGGAGACUUUGAAACGCAUAUUAAAAUGAUCACUUCGAUCCAGCCGCAAUAAAAAAGAGGACACGAUUCGUGUGGAAACAUCACCUUCAAAGCAGGACGAGAAAGUAGAUCUCGCUUUCGUACUCAAGAUCACAAGAUGAAACCGGUCUUGGCUCUGCUUGUUGUCGGCAUUUAAACAUUCUUGUUACAAGAAAUUUAAAAACUGGAGAAAGCUACCAUUUCGUGCAUUACUUCCAUUUAAUUUUUUGGGCACUAAGAAAUAGGAUACUUACAGUACCUACACAAAGUUUGGAAACACGGCGAGUGUUUCCGCGCUUCUAACACGGCGGCUUACGGCCAAAGUGUCUCCCUUUUUUACGCGAUAACUCACGUUUGAGUUAUCGCAAAGCAAAUUUAAAAAAAUCUUCUUGGUGAGAUCUUUUAAAUUUUUUAAAAUAAACGCUGAUUUUUGCCGAUUUUUUCAUUAAAUGUUGAUUUUUCUUCUCUCGUCGCGUGGAGCGUAUCCUGCCCCGAGGGAAGAAUAGAAGAGGGAAAACCGUCGGACCCCUUUGUUCUCUCCUUUUUCCUUCCCUCUAUUCUUCCCCCGGGCUAGGAUUUCGUCCCUGCGCCACGAAAAUUAAUCAGAAUUUUUCUUUAAAAAAUCGGCAAAAAUCAGCGUUUAAUUAAAAAAAUUUGAAACUUUGACCAAAUGAAGGCGACUAUGUCGUCUAC
RNAcentral lists this long non-coding RNA (884 nucleotides) under Daphnia pulex (common water flea). RNAcentral describes it as "uncharacterized LOC124201884, transcript variant X1". The record is from RNAcentral. Lineage: Eukaryota; Metazoa; Arthropoda; Branchiopoda; Diplostraca; Daphniidae.